CGAGCUCAGCGUGCAAAACUUUCGUUUAGGUCAGCUGUUUGGCCGACCGCUCCAUGCUGUUUUGUUCGUUCGGCUCGCGUCAAAU
This 85-nucleotide microRNA precursor is filed under the name Lytechinus variegatus (green sea urchin). RNAcentral describes it as "mir-375 microRNA precursor family". Lineage: Eukaryota; Metazoa; Echinodermata; Echinoidea; Temnopleuroida; Toxopneustidae. The record is from Rfam by way of RNAcentral.